ACACCCUCCCUGCCCAGCAGUGAUGAGUGCCAUUCCUGCCUAGUGGAGCAUUUACAGAGCGGCAGGAUCUGAGCAGUACUGACUGUCCCUCCAAGCCCACCCGCCAGGCCCAAAUCCCCUCUGUUCCUCCUGGGAGGCACCGUCCCAUCCUGCUGACAGACCUCAGCAACAGGUGCUCACUCUCUCUCUGGGCAACCCUUUCUGCUGUGGGCAUGCUGGGCUGUUCUCCAAGCUCUUCCUCACAUGCAGUGGGGCUCCCCAAAGCCCCAGCUCUGUGUCUGGCUCUGCAGGGUCCCUCCAGGCUGAGUCCCCAGCCCCUCCCUCCAGGCUCAUCUCCCUACCGCCUGGAGGAAUGUCUGCAGACACCGCAAGGCUGGUUCUCUGAGUUCUGGCAGCACCUCCACCCUGUGAUGUUGGGCAAACCCCUUGCCCUGAUCCAGCCUGUCUCCUCUGCAGAACUCCCGGAGCAAGAGGUGACCUCCAGGGACCCUUCCCCCUCUGACCUCAGUCUGAGGUGAGUUCUCUUAGGGAGGCCUCAAACCCUUAAUGAAAACCCUCACCAGAUGAAAAGGCUAAACAUUCCCUUCAACCAAACUGGGCUCAGGGGGCAGCAGGUCUAAUGAAUCCUGGCACUUCUUUGGCCCUUGGGGGAGCUACUUGAACUUUUAAUGAUGCUGGAGUAAGAACUCCUCCUGCAGACUCCUGGGGCCCUGGGAGCCCGGCUGCCUUCCCUAGGGAAGUUAAGGAGGGAAGUCUGUUGUGAGGAGGAGGAGGAGGAAGGCAAACAGGGGAUUUUCGUCCUCAGAACUUCUCCAGGAAGACUCCCACCCCACACCAGCCGCUGGCGGCGGGGCAGGACCUUACAACUAUGAACUUGAAGAACUUCAGUCAGCUCAAACGGCCCCUUGGAAUCACCCAGACUCAGCCUUCACUGACAGAUGGAGAAACUGAAGCCAGAGAAGGGAAACACUUGCCUAAGUUCUCCCAGCCUCGUGCGCUAAUCUAUACAGCAGGGUUGGGACUUCCUAGCCAAGGAAUGGGAGUUCUAGACCACACAGCUGAUGGGGUUUUCCUAUUCCCUAAGACACAACAAUAUCAAAACAAAGCCAAUUAAUAAUCCUACAAUGGCCUCUAAAUGCUCAGUGAAAGGAAGAGUCACAUCUCUCACUUUAAAUCAAAAG
RNAcentral lists this long non-coding RNA (1181 nucleotides) under Homo sapiens (human). RNAcentral describes it as "HSALNT0351797". The record is from RNAcentral. Lineage: Eukaryota; Metazoa; Chordata; Mammalia; Primates; Hominidae.